UACGGAGGGAGCUAGCGUUGUUCGGAAUUACUGGGCGUAAAGCGCACGUAGGCGGCGAUUCAAGUCAGAGGUGAAAGCCCGGGGCUCAACCCCGGAACUGCCUUUGAAACUAGAUUGCUAGAAUCCUGGAGAGGUUAGUGGAAUUCCGAGUGUAGAGGUGAAAUUCGUAGAUAUUCGGAAGAACACCAGUGGCGAAGGCGACUAACUGGACAGGUAUUGACGCUGAGGUGCGAAAGCUAGGGGAGCAAACGGG
This 253-nucleotide ribosomal RNA is filed under the name uncultured bacterium. RNAcentral describes it as "partial 16S ribosomal RNA". It matches the Rfam family "Bacterial small subunit ribosomal RNA", at positions 524 to 776 of the family's 1533-position model. The record is from RNAcentral.